This 793-nucleotide ribosomal RNA is filed under the name uncultured bacterium. RNAcentral's name for it is "bacterial SSU rRNA". It matches the Rfam family "Bacterial small subunit ribosomal RNA", at positions 8 to 796 of the family's 1533-position model. The record is from RNAcentral.
AGAGUUUGAUCAUGGCUCAGAAUGAACGCUGGCGGCGCNNCUAAUACAUGCAAGUCGAGCGAGAAGACGUAGCAAUACGUUUGUAAAGCGGCGAACGGGUGAGGAAUACAUGGGUAACCUACCCUCGAGUGGGGAAUAACUAGCCGAAAGGUUAGCUAAUACCGCGUACGCUCCUUGGACUUCGGUUCAGGGAGGAAAGCGAUACCGUGGGUAUCGCGCUCUUGGAUGGGCUCAUGUCCUAUCAGCUUGUUGGUGAGGUAACGGCUCACCAAGGCUUCGACGGGUAGCUGGUCUGAGAGGACGAUCAGCCACACUGGCACUGCGACACGGGCCAGACUCCUACGGGAGGCAGCAGUAAGGAAUAUUGCGCAAUGGGCGAAAGCCUGACGCAGCGACGCCGCGUGGGGGAUGAAGGUCUUCGGAUUGUAAACCCCUUUCGGGAGGGAAGAUGGAACGAGCAAUCGUUCGGACGGUACCUCCAGAAGCAGCCACGGCUAACUUCGUGCCAGCAGCCGCGGUAAUACGAAGGUGGCAAGCGUUAUUCGGAUUUACUGGGCGUACAGGGAGCGUAGGCGGUUCGGUAAGCCCUCUGUGAAAUCUUCAGGCUUAACCUGGAAAAGUCGGAGGGGACUGCUGGGCUAGAGGACGGGAGAGGAGCGCGGAAUUCCCGGUGUAGCGGUGAAAUGCGUAGAGAUCGGGAGGAAGGCCGGUGGCGAAGCGGCGCUCUGGAACGUUUCUGACGCUGAGGCUCGAAAGCGUGGGGAGCAAACAGGAUUAGAUACCCUAGUAGUCC